GCCAUUACACCCCAGCCAGCUCUCUUGGACAUCUUCACAGCUUCAAUGCUCUCAGUCACAGACCCAAUCUGAUUAACCUUGAGAAGGAGAGCAUUGCAAGCUUUCUCUUUGAUAGCCUUCUCAACCCUCUUAGGAUUGGUGACUAAGAGAUCAUCUCCUACAAUUUGUACUUCCUCUCCAAUUUCACUAGUUAGCUUUGCAUAGUG
Molecule: unclassified non-coding RNA, 206 nt
Filed under: Hevea brasiliensis (rubber tree)
Lineage: Eukaryota; Viridiplantae; Streptophyta; Magnoliopsida; Malpighiales; Euphorbiaceae
Source: RNAcentral